CGGACGGGUGAGUAACGCGUGGGUAACCUGCCUCAUACAGGGGGAUAACAGUUAGAAAUGACUGCUAAUACCGCAUAAGACCACAGCACCGCAUGGUGCAGGGGUAAAAACUCCGGUGGUAUGAGAUGGACCCGCGUCUGAUUAGGUAGUUGGUGGGGUAACGGCCUACCAAGGCGACGAUACAUAGCCGACCUGAGAGGGUGAUCGGCCACACUGGGACUGAGACACGGCCCAG
Molecule: ribosomal RNA, 235 nt
Filed under: uncultured bacterium
Lineage: Bacteria
Description: partial 16S ribosomal RNA
Rfam family: Bacterial small subunit ribosomal RNA
Source: RNAcentral